This 2424-nucleotide ribosomal RNA is filed under the name Clostridioides difficile P28. RNAcentral describes it as "bacterial LSU rRNA". It matches the Rfam family "Bacterial large subunit ribosomal RNA", at positions 478 to 2925 of the family's 2925-position model. The record is from RNAcentral. Lineage: Bacteria; Bacillati; Bacillota; Clostridia; Peptostreptococcales; Peptostreptococcaceae.
UAGUGACCGAUAGCGUAUAGUACCGUGAGGGAAAGGUGAAAAGAACCCCGGGAGGGGAGUGAAAUAGAACCUGAAACCCUGCACUUACAAGCUGUGGAAGCACAUUUCUUGUGUGACCGCGUACUUUUUGUAGAACGGGCCAACGAGUUACGUUAAGUAGCAAGGUUAAGCACUUAAGGUGCGGAGCCGUAGCGAAAGCGAGUUUUAACUGAGCGUUCAGUUACUUGACGUAGACCCGAAACCGGGCGACCUACCCAUGAGCAGGAUGAAGCGAAAGUAAAAUUUCGUGGAGGUCCGAACCCACGAGCGUUGAAAAGCUCGGGGAUGACUUGUGGGUAGCGGUGAAAUUCCAAUCGAGCCCGGAGAUAGCUGGUUCUCCCCGAAAUAGCUUUAGGGCUAGCCUCAAGGUGAGAGAUACGGAGGUAGAGCACUGAAUGUCCUAGGGGGUAUUGCACCUACCGAAGACUAUCAAACUCCGAAUGCCGUCAUCUUAUACUUGGGAGUCAGACUGUGGGUGAUAAGAUUCAUAGUCGAAAGGGCAACAGCCCAGAUCGUCAGCUAAGGUCCCUAAAUGUAAGUUAAGUGGUAAAGGAUGUGGGAUUGCACAGACAACCAGGAUGUUGGCUUAGAAGCAGCCACUCAUUCAAAGAGUGCGUAAUAGCUCACUGGUCGAGUGAUCCUGCGCCGAAGAUUUCCGGGGCUAAAACUUACUACCGAAGCUACGGCAUCAGUAAUGAUGGGUAGGGGAGCUUCCCAUACGGGUUGAAGCAUGACCGUAAGGACAUGUGGACAGUAUGGGAGUGAGAAUGUUGGCAUGAGUAGCGAGAUGUGGGUGAGAAUCCCACAGGCCGUAAACCCAAGGUUUCCAGGGGAAGGUUCGUCCGCCCUGGGUUAGUCGGGACCUAAGCUGAGGCCGAAAGGCGUAGGUGAUGGACAACAGGUUGAUAUUCCUGUACUACCGAUAACCGUUUGAGAGAAGGGAUGACACAGUAGGAUAAGCUAAGCACACUGUUGGUUAUGUGUGCCCAAGCAUUGAGGCAGUCAAAGUAGGCAAAUCCGCUUUGAUAAUGCUGGGAUGUGAUGGGGAGCGAAAUUUAGUAGCGAAGUAGCUGAUUUCACACUGUCAAGAAAAGUCUCUAUCGAGGUUAAAGGUACCCGUACCGCAAACCGACACAGGUGGGUGAGGAGAGUAUCCUAAGGCCAGCGAGAGAACUGUUGUUAAGGAACUCGGCAAAAUGACCCCGUAACUUAGGGAUAAGGGGUGCCACCAUCAGGUGGCCGCAGAGAAUAGGCCCAAGCGACUGUUUACCAAAAACAUAGGUUUCUGCUAAGUCGCAAGACGAUGUAUAGGAGCUGACGCCUGCCCGGUGCUGGAAGGUUAAGGGGAUCUGUUAGAGCAAUCGAAGCAGUGAACUUAAGCCCCAGUAAACGGCGGCCGUAACUAUAACGGUCCUAAGGUAGCGAAAUUCCUUGUCGGGUAAGUUCCGACCCGCACGAAAGGCGUAACGAUUUGGGCACUGUCUCAACAACAGACUCGGUGAAAUUGUAAUUCCGGUGAAGAUGCCGGAUACCUGCGACAGGACGGAAAGACCCCAUGGAGCUUUACUGUAGCUUGACAUUGGGUCUUGGUACUACAUGUACAGGAUAGGUGGGAGGCUUUGAAACCAGGACGCCAGUUUUGGCGGAGCCAUCCUUGGGAUACCACCCUUGUAGUACUGGGACUCUAACCAUAGGCCAUGAAUCUGGUCUUGGGACACUGUCAGGUGGGCAGUUUGACUGGGGCGGUCGCCUCCCAAAAGGUAACGGAGGCGCUCAAAGGUUCUCUCAGUACGGUCGGAAAUCGUACGUAGAGUGUAAAGGCAAAAGAGAGCUUGAUUGCAAGACAUACAGGUCGAGCAAGGAUGAAAAUCGGACUUAGUGAUCCGGUGGUUCUGCGUGGAAGGGCCAUCGCUCAACGGAUAAAAGCUACCCUGGGGAUAACAGGCUUAUCUCCCCCAAGAGUCCACAUCGACGGGGAGGUUUGGCACCUCGAUGUCGGCUCAUCACAUCCUGGGGCUGUAGUAGGUCCCAAGGGUUGGGCUGUUCGCCCAUUAAAGUGGUACGCGAGCUGGGUUCAGAACGUCGUGAGACAGUUCGGUCCCUAUCCGUCGCAGGCGUAGGAAAUUUGAGAAGACCUGUCCUUAGUACGAGAGGACCGGGAUGGACGUACCUCUGGUGUACCAGUUGUCCUGCCAAGGGCAUGGCUGGGUAGCUAUGUACGGAAUGGAUAAGCGCUGAAAGCAUCUAAGCGCGAAGCCAACUUCAAGAUAAGAUUUCCCACCGCAAGGGUAAGACCCCAGAAAGACUAUCUGGUUGAUAGGUCGAAGGUGUAAGUGCAGCAAUGUAUUUAGCUUAUCGAUACUAAUAGGUCGAGGACUUGACCAA